Molecule: ribosomal RNA, 614 nt
Filed under: Acinetobacter indicus
Lineage: Bacteria; Pseudomonadati; Pseudomonadota; Gammaproteobacteria; Moraxellales; Moraxellaceae
Description: bacterial SSU rRNA
Rfam family: Bacterial small subunit ribosomal RNA
Source: RNAcentral
GAAAGUGAUAAGUAUCCCACCUGGGGAGUAGGUUCGCAAGAAUGAAACUCAAAGGAAUUGACGGGGGCCCGCACAAGCGGUGGAGCAUGUGGUUUAAUUCGAUGAUACGCGAGGAACCUUACCAGGGCUUAAAUGUAGAUUGACAGAUUUGGAAACAGAUUUUUCUUCGGACAAUUUACAAGGUGCUGCAUGGUUGUCGUCAGCUCGUGCCGUGAGGUGUCAGGUUAAGUCCUAUAACGAGCGCAACCCCUAUUGUUAGUUGCCAGCGAGUAAUGUCGGGAACUCUAGCAAGACUGCCGGUGCAAACCGUGAGGAAGGUGGGGAUGACGUCAAAUCAUCACGGCCCUUACGUCCUGGGCUACACACGUGCUACAAUGGCAAGUACAGAAAGCAGCUACCUGGCAACAGGAUGCGAAUCUCCAAAGCUUGUCUCAGUUCGGAUUGGAGUCUGCAACUCGACUCUAUGAAGCUGGAAUCGCUAGUAAUCGGAUAUCAGCCAUGAUCCGGUGAAUACGUUCCCGGGCCUUGUACACACCGCCCGUCAAGCCAUGGAAGCUGGGGGUACCUGAAGUCGGUGACCGCAAGGAGCUGCCUAGGGUAAAACUAGUAACUAG